GGAGCAAACAGGAUUAGAUACCCUGGUAGUCCACGCCCUAAACGAUGAGUACUAAACGUUGGAUAAAACCAGUGUUGAAGUUAACACAUUAAGUACUCCGCCUGAGUAGUACGUACGCAAGUAUGAAACUUAAAGGAAUUGACGGGACUCCGCACAAGCGGUGGAUCAUGUUGUUUAAUUCGAAGGUACCCGAAAAACCUCACCAGGUCUUGACAUGCUUUUGCAAAGCUGUAGAAAUACAGUGGAGGUUAUCAGAAGCACAGGUGGUGCAUGGUUGUCGUCAGCUCGUGUCGUGAGAUGUUGGGUUAAGUCCCGCAACGAGCGCAACCCUUGUUGUUAAUUGCCAUCAUUAAGUUGGGGACUUUAGCAAGACUGCCAAUGAUAAAUUGGAGGAAGGUGGGGACGACGUCAAAUCAUCAUGCCCCUUAUGACCUGGGCUACAAACGUGAUACAAUGGCUGUUACAAAGGGUAGCUAAAGCGUAAGCUUCUGGCGAAUCUCAAAAAAGCAGUCUCAGUUCGGAUUGAAGUCUGCAACUCGACUUCAUGAAGUUGGAAUCGCUAGUAAUCGCGAAUCAGCAUGUCGCGGUGAAUACGUUCUCGGGGUUUGUACACACCGCCCGUCAAACCACGAAAGUUGGCAAUACCCAAAGCCGGUGGCCUAACUUGAGCAAUCAAGAAGGAGCCGUCUAAGGUAGGGUUGAUGAUUGGGGUUAAGUCGUAACAAGGUAUCCCUACCGGAAGGUGGGGAUGGAUCACCUCCUU
This 763-nucleotide ribosomal RNA is filed under the name Candidatus Phytoplasma solani. RNAcentral's name for it is "bacterial SSU rRNA". It matches the Rfam family "Bacterial small subunit ribosomal RNA", at positions 765 to 1532 of the family's 1533-position model. The record is from RNAcentral. Lineage: Bacteria; Bacillati; Mycoplasmatota; Mollicutes; Acholeplasmatales; Acholeplasmataceae.